UCCCUGUAGGAGUAGUGGUCAGGCCACGGCUCUCUCACUGCUGCGAACUGGGUUCGAUUCCCAGCCAGGGAA
This is a non-coding RNA of Pangasius djambal, 72 nucleotides long. The record is from the annotation of a GenBank genome assembly. Lineage: Eukaryota; Metazoa; Chordata; Actinopteri; Siluriformes; Pangasiidae.